RNAcentral lists this long non-coding RNA (1495 nucleotides) under Homo sapiens (human). RNAcentral's name for it is "HSALNT0265141". The record is from RNAcentral. Lineage: Eukaryota; Metazoa; Chordata; Mammalia; Primates; Hominidae.
AGAUUUAGAUAAAUGGAGAGAGAGAGAGAGAGAGCUCAUGGUCUCCUAAUUGGUAGAUUAGAAAUUCUAUCCAUGAAAAUAUUCUUUAAUUUACUAUCAAUAUUUAAUGUAAUUCCAAUUAAAGUAGGGACAUAACUGUGAGGAAUUAAGUUAGAUCUAAUUAGUCCAAUUUUUCUGAAGAAGGAGCCAGUGAUCUGUAAUGAGAAUUACAAAUCUUUUCAUGCUCUAAUAUUUAAGUUACUAAUGUGGAAAUUGAGGAUUAAUCCUUUAAUUUAGUUUUGGUGCGAUGGCGUCAUGAGGAACUAGUCACUUAUGAAUUCACUCAAAUUUUAGUUAAUUGAAACAAGAAUUUACCUGGAAGAAAUGGGGAUCUCUUAUGUUCAGUGUUAUAAUCGCUGGAGCACUCAGUGCAUUAAUUCUGUAACCCAUUUUGCCUAGUGGUCUGCAGUCGACAUGGAUUGUGCAGCAUCUGAUGUCACCAGAUGAUACCAGUCGUGGGAACAAAAGUGGCUGAGCUCAGACCACUGCUCUGUCCCUAAGUGCUUGGUGCAGAGCUCAACUCUCCCUCUGGGAUGCAGAACAGGGCGACUUAUCUGGUAGCCCGGAAUACCAGAUGGCCUGGCCAUGCCCCAAAGGAACAAAGGCAGCCAGUCCCGGUCCUAGCACAGUGCCCAGAGCUCAGAGGAAUGUGUGACAGGCAAGGACCCUGGAUUCCCUCAUCGACUGUCAUCCUUAGAGGAGCAAGAUGCACUCUCUCCUUCUGGCCAGGAACCUUUCCUUCUGUAGCUUUUCUGCAAUUAAACAAGUUCAUGGAGAGGAGAGAUUUUCCUACUCAGCCUGGUUCACUAAACGGAGUGCUUGAAAAAAGCUUGAAAAAAUUUAAAUAAUUCUGAGCAUCCACUCAACUUCCCAUUCAUAUUUGCUGUUACUUAAGCAAAGCAAUGCAGGCCCGAAUUUCAGGGAAGACGGCUUUUGAGAUAAACUGACUUCUUUCUGUUAACUAAAUAUUUCCUUACCAUUUGCCUUCAGGUACUGAUUUAUUUACCUUAGAGUAUAGCUUUUUAAAUGCUGAUCUUUUAAUUGCCUCAUGUAAAUGAUGUGAAAUUCGGUUUACUCCUUUUAUAACUCAGUAGACUUUAUUUAUGUCCUUUUUUAUCUGAUCUCGUUUAAAGUAAUAUAAUGAUUGUUAUUGAAGACUUUAAAAUAUUCUGCCCUCAAAAAAUUUUAAUGAAGUUGAAGGCAAAAACAUUUACACAUGAGCACUUCAAACAAUAAAGAAGAUUUAUAUACAUUCCACACACAUACCUAUAGAUACACACAUUCACCACCACCACACACCCACAUAUGUAUAUGUAUAUAAACAAAACAAUGUGCUAUAAUUUACACAAUUACUAGUGCAGACAUGAAGAAAAUGAUAGAUGCAAUGUGGGAGUUAGUCUAGGAAAUCCCUCCCUUCCUUCUUCCCUUCAUUCCUUCCUUCCUUCCUCCCUCCCUU